This 933-nucleotide ribosomal RNA is filed under the name uncultured bacterium. RNAcentral's name for it is "bacterial SSU rRNA". It matches the Rfam family "Bacterial small subunit ribosomal RNA", at positions 8 to 916 of the family's 1533-position model. The record is from RNAcentral.
AGAGUUUGAUCCUGGCUCAGAACGAACGCUGGCGGCGCGCUUAACACAUGCAAGUCGAACGCGUGACCCAGCCGUAGCAAUACGGUUGGGAAGCGAGUGGCGGACGGGUGAGUAUCGCGUGGAUAAUCUGCCCUCGAGUGGGGAACAACCUUCCGAAAGGAGGGCUAAUUCCGCAGAUGCCGUCGGGACACAGGUUCCGGGGGCUGAAGUCGGGGCAACCUGACGCUUGAGGAGGAGUUCGCGUCCCAUUAGCUAGUUGGUAGGGUAAUGGCCUACCAAGGCUGUGAUGGGUAGCUGGUCUGAGAGGACGAUCAGCCACAGUGGCACUGAGAUACGGGCCACACUUCUACGGAAGGCAGCAGUGGGGAAUUUUCCGCAAUGGGCGAAAGCCUGACGGAGCGACGCCGCGUGUGGGAUGAAGGCUUUCGGGUCGUAAACCACUUUUAGGAAGGAAGAAUAAGUCGCGGUUAACUGCCGCGAUGAUGACGUUACUUCCAGAAAAAGCCCCGGCUAAUCCUACGUGCCAGCAGCCGCGGUAAUACGUAAGGGGCGAGCGUUGUUCGGAUUGACUGGGUGUAAAGGGUCAGCAGGCGGUCCUGUAAGUCGGGCGUGAAAUCCGGGGGCUUAACCCCCGAACUGCACUCGAUACUGCGGGACUUGAGUAUCGGAGAGGUGAGCGGAAUUCCUGGUGUAGCGGUGAAAUGCGUAGAUAUCAGGAGGAACACCGGUGGCGAAGGCGGCUCACUGGCCGAAUACUGACGCUCAGGGACGAAGGCGCGGGUAGCAAACAGGAUUAGAUACCCUGGUAGUCCGCGUAGUAAACUAUGCACACUAGGUGUGGGAGGUAUCGACCCCUUCCGUGCCGUAGCUAACGCGCUAAGUGUGCCACCUGGGGAGUACGCCCGCAAGGGUGAAACUCAAAGGAAUUGACGG